This 468-nucleotide ribosomal RNA is filed under the name uncultured bacterium. RNAcentral's name for it is "partial 16S ribosomal RNA". It matches the Rfam family "Bacterial small subunit ribosomal RNA", at positions 28 to 507 of the family's 1533-position model. The record is from RNAcentral.
GACGAACGCUGGCGGCGUGCUUAACACAUGCAAGUCGAACGGAAAGGCCCUGCUUUUGUGGGGUGCUCGAGUGGCGAACGGGUGAGUAACACGUGAGUAACCUGCCCUUGACUUUGGGAUACCUUCAGGAAACUGGGGCUAAUACCGGAUAGGAGCUCCUGCUGCAUGGUGGGGGUUGGAAAGUUUCGGCGGGUGGGGAUGGACGCGCGGCUUAUCAGCUUGUUGGUGGGGUAGUGGCUUACCAAGGCGUUGACGGGUAGCCGGCCUGAGAGGGUGACCGGCCACAUUGGUACUGAGAUACGGCCCAGACUCCUACGGGAGGCAGCAGUGGGGAAUAUUGCACAAUGUGCGGAAGCCUGAUGCAGCACCGCAGCGUGCGGGAUAACGGCAUUCGGGUUGUAAACCGCUUUCGCCUGUUACGCAGCGUGCGUGACGGUAAUGGGUAAAGAAGCACCGGCUAACUACGUG